GUUUUGGAAGUAAGACAGAGCGGGGAGGGGGGCUGAUGUAUAGAUGAGCGGAAUGAUGAUGAGUCUAAUUCAGAUAAGGGAACUGUUUAUGCUGUGGAGGCUGCGGUCACUCACUGGAUGUGCAGCGGGCGUCCGGCCAACCCGUAGCCCACAGAGACGGCCCGCUCCAGACCUCCCUGUCCUGUCAGCUGACUUCGUUUUCCCAGGGUCCCCCAAUCCAAGAGGCCAUCUGAGUCAACCUCUGCAAACACACAAGGAGGAGAAGCUGGAAAAAUGUUUAUGAUUCGCAAGCGAGCGGCCAAACGUCAGCGGCCAGACAACUAUUAGAAAUUAGCUCUCACACUGAGGCCCACUGCAAGGGGCCCAUUCAUGGGGCCGAGCGAGAUCGAAGGGAAGCACAAAGAGCUCCCCACACAGCGCAGAGGGCCGUGAGCUCAGCCACUGACCCCUGAAGGAUGUGUGUGGGACGCACCCAGACACACUGGCCCCGCCGACUCGGGCCACCAGGCUCCUCCCUCCUCUGGACUCGACCUUUCACUAAAACCCGUGCAACUCCCAGAACAACCCCCAAAAAGACUCACAGCUGUCAAUCGCAAAAUGCGCGCAGGAGAAAAGAGGGAACGACGUGGAGCCAUGAAGGCAGUUUACCGACCGCUGCCGGUGCCAGCUGAAAAACCUCUGAAGAGUUUCUCCCAUGUAAAGUUUUGGAAUACAGCGCGGAGCUUAAUAAACACCAAACACCGAACCCCAACGGUGCGAAUGAAAUAGCUAACAAACUAGCAGCUGAAAGCAACUGUAAAAGACACAUUGUCGAGUUGAACUCCCUGCCCUCUGCCAUAAAUUAAAGUACGAUAU
Scophthalmus maximus (turbot) is the source of this 855-nucleotide long non-coding RNA. RefSeq lists it as uncharacterized. The record is from RefSeq and is a predicted model, not a curated record. The transcript has 3 exons. NCBI's taxonomy places the organism in Eukaryota, Metazoa, Chordata, Actinopteri, Pleuronectiformes, Scophthalmidae.